GACAUACCUCUGAGUGAGGCAAAGCUGAGUCUGGUGACUCCAAACCGCAGUGAGCUGCUGCAUCCCUGGUGAUGAGACGGGCUUCCUGCUUUCAUACAAAGCUCUCGAGUCUUCUCCAAAGAGUACACCCAAGACCUUGCCCGGUAAAACUGGAUGACUUUCCUCAGGCAUAGGAAAGGUCCCACCUUCUUUUCAGAUACAGUCCUGAAAAGAAGAGCAGAAAGCACCAAUUCCAAGUGUACUCUACUUCCUGUAAUCUCCAGCUCUAGGUACUGAAAAGAAACAAAAAGCUUGGUAGCAGGCAAAGGAACAAACACUUGUAGGGAUGCAGAUGUCCCUGCCUCACUUGGUGCCACCUGGAAAAACCUCUAAUUGGCUCAAAUCCCUCCUUUCUUACCACUUUUAAUUGAUAUGCCUGGUCCUGAACUCACAUUCAACAUUCCCAUCCUAAUUCCUGGACUGGUGGGGGUGGCAUGGAGGUGGAAAAUGGGGUGGUAUGAAUGAAACAUGCUUGGGCAUGAACUCAUGAAAUUACUGAAGCUGGUGGUGAGUACAUGAGCAUUGACUAUACUAGCUCCUCUAUUUCUGAUUACGUUUGAAAUUUUCUAUUAUAAAACAAAGAAAAACGAACACUUAAGAUCCUCCAAUGUUCCUUCUUUCAUUUUGCUUAUCACUGCCUCUAGUGAUGUUCUGUUUUCAAGAAACUAAUGUGACUUGAUUCAGGUUGUCUUUUACUUCAAAGAGAAUGCCUUUAUUUUAUCCAUAGGGCUACUCUAAUGAGUCAAAUUUCUGAAUCCAUUAAAAUCAUGGUUCAGUGGAUCAAAAUUCACUUCAUCCCUGAAAGCUUGGAUAGGCUUUGUAUAUUAUCCCAUCUAUUCCCUUCCUAUUGGCCCCUCAGGGUUCUGAUCAAUGGUUUACCUUUCUGUCCUCUUGUGACCAUGGCAACUUUUAUCAUUCAGGGAUUAAGUUAGGCUUACCCUCUGAUUCCACAUGCCCUGUGAAAUCGGGAAUGUUUCUCCAUUCUCAGUUGGAAGGCCUGCAGUGGAAAAAUGGACAGUCAGCCUUUGAGGAACUUCACUUCCCACAUCUCCAAGCCUGUCCCAUCCCACUGCCACACAAACUGCCCAGCGACUGUCCUAUCUUCUAAGGCAUGAGACCUCGCACUUUAAAACUGGAAUAUUUUCCACAGGCCCUCAAGCCACGAAAUCAUUCCCUUUGUUUCACAACGCUCUAGAGUAAUAGUGUACAUGUUUGCCAUGUACACAUGGCCUCCACUGGACAGCCAUGGGACCGUGUCCACACCCCUGCCAUACCUGGCUAUCACACUGUGUUCUGUGCUCUUCUCUACACCUGCUUCUCUCCAGUGAUGGCGCUUCUUCAGGACAGGGGCUAGACAGUCUUUUUUAAAUCCGCAGGACCCAGUGUUCUAUUUGACUUAUGGUAGAUGAUUCACAUGCAUUUGUUAAGUGAAGAAAUGUCAUAAUCAUACUGAAAUGUAAGCCUAUCUACUUGGGAAGAAAUUUAUUUGGAAAUACUGUAUUUGGAAACAAACAAAAAGAGCAUUCUGUAUUUAAGUCUUCCAGCAGACAAAGGUGACCAUGUCAUACCGAUCUUUUGAUGACCUCCCUUUCCAUACGUGUGAGCCAUGACUUGACUUCCUUAGUCUGAGUCUUUUUUUUUUUUUUUCCUUUUUACAGUGGCACCUGAGGCAUAUGGACAUUCCCAGGCCGAGGAUCAGAUCAGAGCCACAGCCGUUGCCUAUGCCAAAGCCACAGCCACACCAGAUCCGAGCCACAUCUGCAACCUGUACCACAGCUUAUGGUAAUGCCUGAUCCUUAACCCACUGAGCGAGGGCGGGGAUGGAAUCUGCAUCCUCACGUCAACAAUGUUGGGUCUUUAACCUGCUAAGCCACAACAGGAACUCUGAGUUUGUCUUACUAGUCAUUCUGCCCCAACUCUACCUCUUCCAAAUCAGUCACUUGAAUGAAAAAGAAAAACCAAAAUUUCCAUUUGUGCUUUUGUUAAGAUUGAACCAUCUUCCUUUUUUUAAUUAAAAUUUUAAAAAAUUUUUUGAAA
Molecule: long non-coding RNA, 2076 nt
Filed under: Sus scrofa (pig)
Lineage: Eukaryota; Metazoa; Chordata; Mammalia; Artiodactyla; Suidae
Description: lncRNA (ENSSSCG00050012531.1)
Source: RNAcentral